UGCAGGUUUUCAGUCUCAAAUGCAGGUUAAACAUUGAAAGUAGCUGGCUGAUAUCAGGCAGAUGGAUGCCUGGGCUUCAUCAGACAUGUUUCGGGGUUCAGGGUGCAAUGGCUAUGAUUUCCGAGGCUAGGAGAUGUAGAAAUCAAGGCCAUCAAAGGAAACUUCUGCAGGUUUUUCUUAUUGGAAAGGAAGAUAAACGAAAAGAAGGGUAGCAGGCGUACCUUAGGCGGGCCUUCCAGUACAUUCGUGCAAUACAGUCUCGCGUUGUCAACCAGUUGGCAAUAUGUUAGAAAUGCAUUAGCAAA
Long non-coding RNA from Pyrus x bretschneideri (Chinese white pear), 305 nucleotides. RefSeq lists it as uncharacterized. The transcript has 3 exons. The record is from RefSeq and is a predicted model, not a curated record. NCBI's taxonomy places the organism in Eukaryota, Viridiplantae, Streptophyta, Magnoliopsida, Rosales, Rosaceae.